This 374-nucleotide ribosomal RNA is filed under the name uncultured organism. Its description in RNAcentral is "partial 16S ribosomal RNA". It matches the Rfam family "Bacterial small subunit ribosomal RNA", at positions 527 to 896 of the family's 1533-position model. The record is from RNAcentral.
GUAGGUGGCAAGCGUUGUCCGGGAAUUAUUGGGGCGUAAAGCGCGCGCAGGCGGUUCUUUAAGUCUGAUGUGAAAGCCCACGGGCUCAACCGUGGAGGGUCAUUGGAAACUGGAGAACUUGAGUACAGAAGAGGAAAGCGGAAUUCCACGUGUAGCGGUGAAAUGCGUAGAGAUGUGGAGGAACACCAGUGGCGAAGGCGGCUUUCUGGUCUGUAACUGACGCUGAGGCGCGAAAGCGUGGGGAGCAAACAGGAUUAGAUACUCUGGUAGUCACGCCGUAAACGAUGAGUGCUAAGUGUUAGGGGGUUUCCGCCCCUUAGUGCUGCAGCUAACGCAUUAAGCACUCCGCCUGGGGAGUACGGCCGCAAAGGCUG